Molecule: transfer RNA, 72 nt
Filed under: Sphaerodactylus townsendi
Lineage: Eukaryota; Metazoa; Chordata; Lepidosauria; Squamata; Sphaerodactylidae
Description: tRNA-Ala
Rfam family: tRNA
About the family: Transfer RNA (tRNA) molecules are approximately 80 nucleotides in length. Their secondary structure includes four short double-helical elements and three loops (D, anti-codon, and T loops).
Source: RNAcentral
GGGGCUAUGGCUUAAUAGCAGAGCAUUUGCUUGGCUCCCAGAAGGUCCCAGGUUCAAUUCCUGACAAUCCCA